UAAAAAGAGGGAGAGAUUUUGAAAUUAAAUAAAUGGGGGGGAGAUGAAGAGACUAAUCCUAAGCAUAAAUUUAAAAGUUGAGAGUUGAAAAGAUCUAACCAAUGGGCUAUAUAAUCCAACAGACAAGAGUGUCAUAUAAAAACCCAAAUUUCCCUUGGACUUUAGAAUCAAGCAACAAAUAAUGACAAAAAUAUCAACUUGAAGAGAAAGACGUCAAAUAAAGAUAGCCCUAUUCAAGCUUAGCAACUCCAUGAUCUUCUUCAAAUUUG
This 269-nucleotide long non-coding RNA is filed under the name Lathyrus oleraceus (garden pea). Its description in RNAcentral is "Pisum sativum (pea) long non-coding RNA (PSAT_LNC033547)". The record is from RNAcentral. Lineage: Eukaryota; Viridiplantae; Streptophyta; Magnoliopsida; Fabales; Fabaceae.